RNAcentral lists this ribosomal RNA (527 nucleotides) under uncultured Ralstonia sp. RNAcentral describes it as "bacterial SSU rRNA". It matches the Rfam family "Bacterial small subunit ribosomal RNA", at positions 65 to 584 of the family's 1533-position model. The record is from RNAcentral. Lineage: Bacteria; Pseudomonadati; Pseudomonadota; Betaproteobacteria; Burkholderiales; Burkholderiaceae.
GGCAGCAUGAUCUAGCUUGCUAGAUUGAUGGCGAGUGGCGAACGGGUGAGUAAUACAUCGGAACGUGCCCUGUAGUGGGGGAUAACUAGUCGAAAGAUUAGCUAAUACCGCAUACGACCUGAGGGUGAAAGUGGGGGACCGCAAGGCCUCAUGCUAUAGGAGCGGCCGAUGUCUGAUUAGCUAGUUGGUGAGGUAAAGGCUCACCAAGGCGACGAUCAGUAGCUGGUCUGAGAGGACGAUCAGCCACACUGGGACUGAGACACGGCCCAGACUCCUACGGGAGGCAGCAGUGGGGAAUUUUGGACAAUGGGGGCAACCCUGAUCCAGCAAUGCCGCGUGUGUGAAGAAGGCCUUCGGGUUGUAAAGCACUUUUGUCCGGAAAGAAAUCGCACUUACUAAUAUUAGGUGUGGAUGACGGUACCGGAAGAAUAAGGACCGGCUAACUACGUGCCAGCAGCCGCGGUAAUACGUAGGGUCCAAGCGUUAAUCGGAAUUACUGGGCGUAAAGCGUGCGCAGGCGGUUGUGC